Molecule: transfer RNA, 73 nt
Filed under: Yasminevirus sp. GU-2018
Lineage: Varidnaviria; Bamfordvirae; Nucleocytoviricota; Megaviricetes; Imitervirales; Mimiviridae
Description: partial tRNA-Gly(acc)
Rfam family: tRNA
About the family: Transfer RNA (tRNA) molecules are approximately 80 nucleotides in length. Their secondary structure includes four short double-helical elements and three loops (D, anti-codon, and T loops).
Source: RNAcentral
UGCUAUCAUAGUUUAACGGUAAAAUGUCUGGCAACCAACCAGAGGACACAGGUUCGACUCCUGUUGAUAGCAA